GCCCUGGUGGCACAAUGGUUAAAUGCUCAGCUGCUAAAUGAAAGGUUGGUAGUUUGAACCUACCCAGGGGCA
This 72-nucleotide transfer RNA is filed under the name Loxodonta africana (African savanna elephant). It matches the Rfam family "tRNA". Rfam says of the family: Transfer RNA (tRNA) molecules are approximately 80 nucleotides in length. Their secondary structure includes four short double-helical elements and three loops (D, anti-codon, and T loops). The record is from Rfam by way of RNAcentral. Lineage: Eukaryota; Metazoa; Chordata; Mammalia; Proboscidea; Elephantidae.